AUGCGUGCAAGGUUAUCUGGAGGUCAUUUCAGAAUGUUAAACGAGAAACUGUACACUUGCAGUGGCCAGGAUGCAUUUGACUACUUUAAAAACGAGCCUGAGCUUUUUGACGUGUAUCAUGCAGGAUAUCAAGAGCAGAUGUCACAUUGGCCAGAGCAGCCAGUUAAUGUGAUAAUCAAGUGGUUGAAGAGUCAUAACAAAUCAUGGACCGUUGCUGAUUUUGGAUGUGGGAAUGCAGCAGUUGCUAAAAACGUGAAGAACAAGGUCUUCUCCAUCGAUCUUGUUUCAGAUGACCCUUCAGUGAUUGCUUGUGAUAUGGCUCAUACCCCAUUGGAGCCAUCCUCUGUAGAUGUGGCGAUAUUUUGUCUUUCUUUGAUGGGAACCAACUUUCCGAGUUAUCUACAGGAAGCUAACAGAGUUCUCAAGCCAAGUGGUUGGCUUCUUAUUGCGGAAGUGAGGAGUAGGCUAGACCCGGACACCGGAGGUGCUGAUCCUGAUAAGUUCUCUGAAGCCAUCAGCCAGCUUGGCUUUUCCCUUAUUUCGAAGGUUUGUAUUUACUAUUUCAAAGAUUUCCUAGAAAGAUUUUCACAUGAUACAGUGCUCGGCUACUUGCUAGCUUUUUUUUCUUCCCGAAAAAGUCCCUGGAUUAUAUUGAAGUUUCACCUGCAGUACAAAGCACAACAACAGUUAAGGAAAUUAUAA
RNAcentral lists this ribosomal RNA (702 nucleotides) under Triticum aestivum (bread wheat). RNAcentral's name for it is "partial small subunit ribosomal RNA". The record is from RNAcentral. Lineage: Eukaryota; Viridiplantae; Streptophyta; Magnoliopsida; Poales; Poaceae.